RNAcentral lists this ribosomal RNA (300 nucleotides) under uncultured bacterium. RNAcentral's name for it is "bacterial SSU rRNA". The stretch from base 1 to 248 matches the Rfam family "Bacterial small subunit ribosomal RNA", at positions 114 to 358 of the family's 1533-position model. The record is from RNAcentral.
CGCGUAUAGAAUCUACCUUUUACAGGGGGAGUAGCCUUUAGAAAUGAAGAUUAAUAUCCCAUAGUAUUGCGAAGUGGCAUCACUUUGUAAUUAAAGAUUUAUCGGUAAAAGAUGACUAUGCGUCCUAUUAGUUAGUUGGUAAGGUAACGGCUUACCAAGACUUCGAUAGGUAGGGGGUCCUGAGAGGGAGAUCCCCCACACUGGUACGUGAGACACGGACCAGACUCCUACGGGAGGGCAGCAGUGAGGGAAAUAAUUUGGGCGAAUAGGAGGGUAACGUACUGACCCACGCACUGCCGC